CCAGAGCGGCGCAUUGGGGUCACCCCCAGCCCGGCUUUCACACACACACACACACACACACACACGCACACACGGCCCUCCUUGUGCCAACGGCGGUUCACCCCUCCCUCGCACAACGCCCCCCCACCGUGUCGCCCCAAAAGAGGUGUAGAGGGGCUGUGUGCCCCCGGAAGGGGCGCGGAAGGGUUUCAGAUCUUCUCCGGUUCUCUCUCCUCUCCUGUUUCCUCUCCCGCUUCUGCAGCGAACGUUUGGGGAACUGCAGGGAAAUCCAGAGCCUGAAUCUUGAUUUGUUCCACCGAAACCUGAAUGGAGCAGGGGUCACAGAGCAGGGCUGUUGCUGCUGCCGGGGGAUUUGGGGGCAAAGAAGCACAUCCCCCCAGGAUUCCCGUUGGCAUUUGUGGUGCCAGCCCCAAAGCCAGCCUGUGCCAGCCCCUGGGCAAGGGACACCAGGAGCCCGGAGCCCCUUGACCACUGGAGGGAGCCCAUAUUGUGCCAGAAUGCAACAGAAACACGACGGGGAAGACAAAAAAAAAUACUAAAAUAUGAAAUAUCAGAUCAUUGUAGUCAGAACAAAGUGUCUUCUCCAGGUCAGACCGUGAUCUAUAGCAAUGCAAAAUGUUAUAAAAAUCAGAUUUAAAUGUCCCAUUGUACUUCAUCAGCACAAAGAAGAGAAAGAAUUAUUAAGAACAAGGCUCUUUUUUUUUUUUUUCCCCUGCUCUUAUUUUGAAUGUCAGUCUGGCACCUUUCACCGGGAGUGAAUUCAUACGCCAGGAUGGUGACAGACCUGGUUUGGAGGGAAAAUGCCCUUGUGUCAUCCCAGGGGCCAGCUGAGCUUCCCCUCACUCUCCUUCCUUAAAUGUAGGUCAGCACCUAUAGACCCCUUCCCAACCCACCCCAGAGCUGCAGCAGCUCACCACUGCUGCUUUCCAAGGACAUUGGGAAAGGAGAUUCCUUUUGGAAAGGAGAUUUCUUUCCUUUUGGAAAGGAGAUUUCUUCUGUUCUGCCUCUCUCACCCCAGAGAGGCCACGUGCCAUGUUUAAGGCACAACACGCACCUACAGGAGGCUGCCCUGCACCAAAAACUCUGCUUGGCAAUCGUGCCCAGGAAUGUUCCUGGUCCUCUAAAUUCCAUCUUGUGAACGUUGAAAUAUUUGUAAUUCAAUACACACUUUUAGCACACAAAUAUUUCUGGCUUCGCAGAGUGAUGCCAAGUUGCUGGAGACCCUGAAAUGUCAAAAUGGAAUAAAACUGAAAGUGAUUUGUGUACUAAUCUGUUUUCUUGGCCCUGGAGAAAUUACCAUCAAAAGCAUGAUAUAACCACAGCCCCACAGACACAGAGAGCCCAUUGUGUUUGACACCCCUGUUCUAAAAUACUGUCCUUAAUGCAUAAAAACACAUUCUAGUAAACUUUUGCUGUCUUAUCUGAGCUCUUUACCAUUGAAUACAGGGUUUUAUCUGAUGUAAUUUUGAUUUUUUCCCUCCCUACUUUGGUCUCCCACUGGGAUUUUGCUCUCCCGCUCCCCGGUUGUUCUCCUUGGGGGCUCACACAGAUCCAGGUGGGUUUUCCACCCCAGCACCAGCACCUGAGGCUCUGUAGCAGCUGGUGGCUGCUGUCACCACAUGGCACAUCUGUCCCCUGAUUGCCCUGAGCUGACAGGACCCUGGCAGGGCACAGGCUUCUCCUUGAGCUGCGUUUUUCCAGAGCCAUCACUGCUCCCCCAGAGUGGCUUUUGUGACCAGAGGUGAGCUGGGGUGAAGGGGACACCAAGGGACAGCUGAUCCAGAGGCUCAGUGCUCAAAGCUCCACUGCUGCCUGUGAAGCUCCUGCCCAGUCUGCUGUGUGUCAGGGGAGGGCUGUGACCAGAGUGUCCCCAGGAGGGUUGGGGGGGUGGCUGUGAGCACAGGCACUCGCACAGAUACUGCUUUUUUCCUCUGCUGAGAGUGACAAAGCCGAGCUAGCAAAGGUCUUCACACACUCAGGGCUGUGUUGGGGGGGAUCAACCACACCCAGGGCAAAUAUUCCUCCAGCAUAGACUUUACAUCUCUUGCUUGGUUUUGUAUCACCCAACCGAGCACAAAAUCAUCACCAAGCACUUCUUACCCAGCAAUAAGGAGCACACACAACAUUAAAGUCAAAGCCCAAGCACUAGCUGUGCUCCAGUGACACAAACAACCCCAUUCCUUAGGGACAAUCCAGUCUCUGGUGCUGAACAGGAUUUCCCAGAGCCCACACAAAGUGAAGCUACAGCUCCAAGGCUUUCCCUUGUCUGAUGCUCAGAGGUUGGAUGGGCAGGAUCACUCAGGGAAGCCAGGAUCCAGCACACCACAGGCUCUUCCCAAGUUUUCCAAGGAAAAUAUGAACGUGCAAGAUGGGGUCCUUCUGAAGGAGGAAGAAACAUCCCUCCCUGGCCACCCUGCCACAAAUGGUGUCUUUUAGGGUGAGCACUUAAAUAGAAUCACAGAAUUCUUAAACUGGAAAAUACCUCAAAGGUCUUUGAUUCAACUGUAUGGAACUUAUACAUAUUUUUUAAUUGGAAAAACUCACUUUCAUAACUUAUGUUUCUCCACGUUUUCCUCCCACUUGCUGGGACCAUGCCCUGUGUGACACCUCCACAUCAGGGUGGGUGUACCCAGCUAUGAAUUUUUCUCUCCAUGGCACUGGCCCAAAGCAGAAAGGGCUCCUGAAAACCUGGUGCCCCACGUUCCUGCUGAUGUCUGGCACAGACAUUUCACAUCAGCAAACCCACUGUGGUGAGCAUCAUCACAGGAGUGUGACAGUUCACCUUUUACCCUGCGCUGGAUGAGCUGCUUCCCCUUUUUUUUGUGUAACAACCAAACACUUGAAACAUUUGCCCAGAAAGCACAACAUCUGGAUUCAAUUCCCUCCCCAACCCGAGAGUCUCCAACCUGUAUUUCCCACGAGACAGAUGUAGCACGAUGCUAAACAGCAAUCUGGCAGGGGGGAAAACAUGGUAUUUUUUAUUCUUGCUCUCCAAGCAGAGCUAUUGUACAAACAGGAACACAAGUGUCCUGAGGCCAAAAAGCGAGCAAGAAGCACAUGACUCCCUACCCUGCCUGCCACAGCAGCAGUGAUAACGUGUUCUGCUUAUUAUCAAUAGCUGUUUUACAAUAAAUGCAUAAUCUGCCCUGAACAGAGGGCUUAGAGCCCAGGGUUUGCUCACCCCAUAGCUCACCCCAUAGCUUAUUCUGGGGGAGAGGAAGCAAUGGUUUAGAGGUUGGAACCUUUGAAUGUGGCACCUUGGGUUAAGUCUCUAGGCUGGAGGAACGUGCAAAGAUGUAAAUUUCCCAUUGUGCUUUGAGAAUAAAAGUAUUGCCAUUAAUCAGCUGCCCCUCCUCUGUUUUUUAGGUCAUCACUUGUUGGUACAAGGGGGCUGGAACAAGAGUGUUCUAGUGGCACAAACAGUGCUCAUCAUCCAGGCACGGCUGCAAAUGUUACAGAAAGCUCUGGUUUUGCACAGAAAACCCUUGCUGAGCAUGUGAACCCCCAGUGAAAUACUGGAGUUGUCACCUCUGGCACUGACAGGGGCACCAAGCCAAGUGUUUGUAAUAAAAAUCCUGCAGCAGAAAGGGAAAAAAAACCCCUGAUUACCCAACAUUUCAAUGAACUGGGAGGAAGCUGCCAGUGCUUCUUUGCUGAAAAGAAGCCUUUCCAAAAAGGUUUUUCCAAGUCUCCUUCAGCUCGUAGAUUUUUAUCUUUACCCCACACAGAGCCUCCUGCACAUAUGGGAAGCACUGGAGCUGUUUUCAUGAUGUACUCAAAAAUCAAGGUGCUUUUGGUUUUCCUACCUGUUUGCAAGUCUCUCACCCCAAUGGAAUAAAAGCAGAGUUGGGGGCAAGCCAUAAAAAGGUUAAUUUGCUGUAUACACCAGUCUGACCUUUUUUUGGCAGCUCAAACAGCUGCACCCAGGCACCUAAGGGAUGAAAAUUCUUCAGAAACCAGGGCUAGGGAGAACACCUUCUAGCACCCCACCAGCCAUUAAAGCAGUGGUGAAAGAACUUGCAAAUACUAAAGUUAAAAAAUAAACCUUGGGCCAGGCACUGGUUUGGGCUGUGGCAGCCCAGCACCAUUUCCUCAGGACAAACCAGCCUUUGGUGGGGUUUUACAGCAGGACUUUAUAAUAAAUGUCAGUCAUCCAAUGCUGGCAGUGGAACAACAGGACAGAUUUCAGCCUCCACCAUUUCUGCCAGAGGAUUUCUUUAUAUCACGUGGCUGAGUGUGGACAUCAGCCUCCCUCCAUCACCUCCUGAUCCUGGGAGCUCGUCGGGGUAAAGCAUGGCAGAAUGGCAAUUCCUACAGCUGCAGCUCCUUCCUGAGCAGUUGCUGGGCCAGCAGCUUCAGCCUUCAAGUGUGAUCCUGAAGUCAUCAAACACUCCUGGAUCACGAGGCAGUUGAAGGAUGUGCGUGAGGAAAACAGCUCCCUCCCUGCUUGUAAUGCAGCUCUGGGUAUCGAUAUAUAUUCCUUUAAAAUACUUCUUGUAGCUUUUCUGUUACAGCCUCAAGGUACUACACAUGCUGCAGCACAACCUUCACACUGUUCUCUCAUGUUCAUGUUUCAAGGGGAGAUCAGAUGGAUUUCUCAGGUAAUACAAUAUAAGACAUUAUUUUCUUCUGAAACAUUUUUAAGUGCAGCAGCUUUUAGUAAUCUUCUAGCAUCUUCUCCUAUGUAUGACAGAGUCUAUUAAUGUCAUUUGCAUGAGAAGUUCACAAUAAAUCAUUCAUGCACAGUUUAGUACAGGUUAAGUGUAACAGCCUAACUGUGAUUUUCUGUAAGAAAAUCAGAGCAGCUCAUCAACUGGUGUAAAUCAGCAGUGCUCCAUCAAAGCCACUGAGUCACACCAACUAAUUGCUUGGCCCAUGGGAAAGAUUUAGGCAAAAAAGCAGCAGGGAAGAGCACGAUUCCUGCCUGUUGGAAGGACCUUCUCCUGAGAGCUCUCUGUAAAAAACCUUUCCAAAGAAAAUCCGUAGUGGAUUUUUGGUUAAUCCUGUGGAGCCAGCACAGCCUGGCUGGUCCAAGGUCAUCGCUGUCCUGCUGACAUCCCUGGACUCUGCUGUGGCCACACUCCUGGAGGGUGAGGA
Long non-coding RNA from Passer domesticus (house sparrow), 5097 nucleotides. RefSeq lists it as uncharacterized. Lineage: Eukaryota; Metazoa; Chordata; Aves; Passeriformes; Passeridae. The record is from RefSeq and is a predicted model, not a curated record. The transcript is spliced from 3 exons.